Molecule: ribosomal RNA, 253 nt
Filed under: uncultured bacterium
Lineage: Bacteria
Description: partial 16S ribosomal RNA
Rfam family: Bacterial small subunit ribosomal RNA
Source: RNAcentral
UACGUAGGAUGCAAGCGUUGUCCGGAAUUAUUGGGCGUAAAGAGCGCGCAGGCGGUAACUCAAGUCAGAUGUGAAAUAUCCGGGCUUAACCCGGAGGGGUCAUUUGAAACUGAGUAACUAGAGUACAGCAGAGGAUAGCGGAAUUCCCAGUGUAGUGGUGAAAUGCGUAGAUAUCGGGAGGAACACCAGUGGCGAAGGCGGCUAUCUGGGCUGAAACUGACGCUGAGGCGCGAAGGCUAGGGGAGCAAACAGG